RNAcentral lists this ribosomal RNA (520 nucleotides) under Bacillus sp. MBCC40091. RNAcentral's name for it is "bacterial SSU rRNA". It matches the Rfam family "Bacterial small subunit ribosomal RNA", at positions 45 to 546 of the family's 1533-position model. The record is from RNAcentral. Lineage: Bacteria; Bacillati; Bacillota; Bacilli; Caryophanales; Bacillaceae.
UGCCUAAUACAUGCAAGUCGAGCGAACUGAUUAGAAGCUUGCUUCUAUGACGUUAGCGGCGGACGGGUGAGUAACACGUGGGCAACCUGCCUGUAAGACUGGGAUAACUUCGGGAAACCGAAGCUAAUACCGGAUAGGAUCUUCUCCUUCAUGGGAGAUGAUUGAAAGAUGGUUUCGGCUAUCACUUACAGAUGGGCCCGCGGUGCAUUAGCUAGUUGGUGAGGUAACGGCUCACCAAGGCAACGAUGCAUAGCCGACCUGAGAGGGUGAUCGGCCACACUGGGACUGAGACACGGCCCAGACUCCUACGGGAGGCAGCAGUAGGGAAUCUUCCGCAAUGGACGAAAGUCUGACGGAGCAACGCCGCGUGAGUGAUGAAGGCUUUCGGGUCGUAAAACUCUGUUGUUAGGGAAGAACAAGUACGAGAGUAACUGCUCGUACCUUGACGGUACCUAACCAGAAAGCCACGGCUAACUACGUGCCAGCAGCCGCGGUAAUACGUAGGUGGCAAGCGUUAUCC